UAUGAGGAGGGACCUACAAAGACUGGAAACUAUUCUUAGCUCCGUCACUGACUCCAAGUUCAUCCCCUCUGUCUUUCAGUUUGGUGAGAUAUAGGCUACUCUUCCCAACUCAGUCUUGAAGAGUAUCACCAACUGCCUCAUGUGUGGUGACCUUCACUGUCGUAUGCCAGUGACUCAUCUGGAGUAAUCUCAACAACGAGUUACCAAUACUUGCUCUUGAUUGAUAAACAGAAUGGGGUUUUGGAUCUUAGCAAUUCUCACAAUUCUCAUGUAUUCCACAGCAGCAAAGUUUAUAAACAAUCAUGGGGCCUGGAAAAUGAGGCUUUAAUUGUAAGAUGUCCUAGACAAGGAAAACCUAGUUACACCGUGGAUUGGUAUUACUCACAAACAAACAAAAGUAUUCCCACUCAGGAAAGAAAUCGUGUGUUUGCCUCAGGCCAACUUCUGAAGUUUCUACCAGCUGCAGUUGCUGAUUCUGGUAUUUAUACCUGUAUUGUCAGAAGCCCACAUUCAAUAGGACUGGAUAUGCGAAUGUCACCAUAUAUAAAAAACAAUCAGAUUGCAAUGUUCCAGAUUAUUUGAUGUAUUCAACAGUAUCUGGAUCAGAAAAAAAUUCCAAAAUUUAUUGUCCUACCAUUGACCUCUACAACUGGACAGCACCUCUUGAGUGGUUUAAGAUUGUCAGGCUCUUCAAGGAUCAAGGUACAGGGCGCACAAGUCAUUUUUGGUCAUUGAUAAUGUGAUGACUGAGGACGCAGGUGAUUACACCUGUAAAUUUAUACACAAUGAAAAUGGAGCCAAUUAUAGUGUGACGGCGACCAGGUCCUUCACGGUCAAGGUGAGCAAGGCUUUUCUCUGUUUCCAGUAAUCGGAGCCCCUGCACAAAAUGAAAUAAAGGAAGUGGAAAUUGGUA
Molecule: long non-coding RNA, 913 nt
Filed under: Homo sapiens (human)
Lineage: Eukaryota; Metazoa; Chordata; Mammalia; Primates; Hominidae
Description: long non-coding RNA NONHSAT072854.2
Source: RNAcentral